RNAcentral lists this unclassified non-coding RNA (2126 nucleotides) under Hevea brasiliensis (rubber tree). The record is from RNAcentral. Lineage: Eukaryota; Viridiplantae; Streptophyta; Magnoliopsida; Malpighiales; Euphorbiaceae.
GAUUGGAGGCAUAAAUUUUGGUCUACAAAAUCGACAGCUUCGGUGGUGGUGUUCUUAAUAGUGAUUGAAUCUGCAGUAGUUUCUCCAAGAAACACUGACAGAGGUUUCCCAUCUUCAAAGGGGCAUGGGACAGAAGUCACAAUCGGACUCUCUUCAAUUGGAUUACAACUACACACAGAUUGGUCUUCUUGGUAAUCAAUGAACCCAAUUUUACCUUUAUCUCCAAUGACAGAGUACUCAUAAUCAUCCCAUUUCCCAUCAAACGUACCCAUGCCCACAAAAUGGAGUUUAAAAAAAAAAUUCCUUUCAGUUCAGCAAACUGUGAGCAAUCUCAAAAUACACAAACAUAGGAAUAUAGAAGGCACGAUCAAGCAUAAUAGAAAGAUCUAAGCAAGAGCAAACCCACGUCUACUGCCAUUAAUCUUACAUGAAGAGUAAAAAGAAAGGGAAAACACUCACUCACCUUAAAACACCCGCUCAGAGACCAUUCAGUCUCACUCACCCUUGAUUGAGGUCCAGCGCACAGCGGUAAUCACUAUCCACUAAUCAGAGUAGCAUAAGCAUACGGUUAGUACCCUUUUGGCCCUGGGCACCGUAGUAUGAGAGUAACCACUAUGGGCCUCUCUAAAUCACGAGCUGAAGGAUUUCGCGUGAAGAAACUUUAGACCAUUUGAGCUACAGGACAAAUUAUAUGGUAUAUUUACCGAGGCACAGUGGUUUUGGUUGACAAUUUUAAUGCGUAGACUAUCAAUCUUGCGCCGAUUUGCACCUCAACGGAUUACAAUACCAGGCCGCCUGAGACGAUUUACAGCAAAUUUCUUGAUACGGUUCCAACAUCUGUUUUUGGGAUUUUAGGCUUUCUUGAUACCGCAUAUUUCUUAACAUGUUAUAUAAUUUUCCUUAGAACUGAAAUUUCUCCGAAUAUCACAAAAGCUAGUGAACUGCCUGAAAUAACAAUUCCCUCUUCUCAUCCACAUUCUGAUUUCAUCUGGGAAGAUAACACGGUUCUGCAGCAUAAUAAAAGUUCUCAUAGCAGAAUUCACUACCGAAAAUUUCUGUUAAAUUAUACCCAGCUAUCCGCAUCCAAUCCAAGUAAUUCUUAAAUUUAAUUCACUUCCUGCUUCGGGGUAUGGCAUGAUCAUGAAAUAUGGACGUUCGAAAUUAUAACUUCUCAAGAAAAUAAGCAAUAAUAUCGAAAUGCAAGUACAAAACAAGCAUUUGAAACUAGUUCUGGGCAGUCGAAUGUUGCAUUCGCUAUUGGCAACUCAAAUUAAACAUAAUCAAGAAAUGCUAGCCCAGAGCAGAAACAUUCAGGCUGCUACAUCAUUUUUAACAGAUUCACGCCAGGCAUACUCCCUUGCUCCAUCCUUGUCAACAAUCUUGAUCAAAAAGUUUGGUGGUGCCACAACCAACCUGGAUCGGAUCUCCAUUAUGCACUUAUCAACCAAAUCAAUUGCUUCUUCCACUGACAUGCCACUAUGGAAGUGUCUGUCCAUCAUGGAGAGAGAAAAAUAGGAGCCAUACCCAAAUGCUCCCUUUUCAACCUUGUGCAGGGUAGCAAUAUAGUCAAUGUAAUAAAGAGAAGGGCCGGUCUCUUUGUCAUAGCCAGCCAAAAGGAUGUUCACGAAGUAUGGGUUCUUUCUCAAAGCGGUAGCGAGCUCCCCUCGUGUAAAGUUGGCGGCAGCUGCAGUGGUCAAAGGAAUUCCAUUACGAAACUGAUACAGUGCCACGUUCUUCUGUAUGUACUCCGUGAAUUGAACUCUGUCACCGGGCUCGCCGCUAGCGGCGAUGAGUUUGUGGGAAUCAAGGAUCAUGAUCUUGUCUUCGUUGGACUUGUGUACGAGGAUGCUGUGUACGGCCGAUGUAUCAGCCGCUACUAUCGCGAAACCAUUGCCUACUAGUCCAAACACGCACUCCAUUCUUGUUGAUCUGUUUGCUCCUCUAACGUGCUGAGAUUUUUACUGAUUUUAUUAACCCUUCUCUGUAUUGAUUUUGCUUUGGUUAUCGAGGAAGAUGGCAGCUCAUGGAUCUCUUCUUGAGGAACAAGUAGAAAAUUUUGGACAAUGGAAAGGGUAUUUUGGUCAUUGUGGUCCUUCUAUAGAGUAAUGUUUAAGCAUAAGGCAUUU